This 969-nucleotide ribosomal RNA is filed under the name Kocuria sediminis. Its description in RNAcentral is "bacterial SSU rRNA". It matches the Rfam family "Bacterial small subunit ribosomal RNA", at positions 53 to 1030 of the family's 1533-position model. Lineage: Bacteria; Bacillati; Actinomycetota; Actinomycetes; Micrococcales; Micrococcaceae. The record is from RNAcentral.
ACAUGCAAGUCGAACGAUGAUCUCCCAGCUUGCUGGGGGUGAUUAGUGGCGAACGGGUGAGUAAUACGUGAGUAACCUGCCCUUGACUCUGGGAUAAGCCUGGGAAACCGGGUCUAAUACUGGAUACGACCUCCUGUCGCAUGGUGGGGGGUGGAAAGGGUUCUACUGGUUUUGGAUGGGCUCACGGCCUAUCAGCUUGUUGGUGGGGUAAUGGCUCACCAAGGCGACGACGGGUAGCCGGCCUGAGAGGGUGACCGGCCACACUGGGACUGAGACACGGCCCAGACUCCUACGGGAGGCAGCAGUGGGGAAUAUUGCACAAUGGGCGCAAGCCUGAUGCAGCGACGCCGCGUGAGGGAUGACGGCCUUCGGGUUGUAAACCUCUUUCAGUAGGGAAGAAGCGAAAGUGACGGUACCUGCAGAAGAAGCGCCGGCUAACUACGUGCCAGCAGCCGCGGUAAUACGUAGGGCGCAAGCGUUGUCCGGAAUUAUUGGGCGUAAAGAGCUCGUAGGCGGUCUGUCGCGUCUGCUGUGAAAGCCCGGGGCUCAACCCCGGGUCUGCAGUGGGUACGGGCAGACUAGAGUGCAGUAGGGGAGACUGGAAUUCCUGGUGUAGCGGUGAAAUGCGCAGAUAUCAGGAGGAACACCGAUGGCGAAGGCAGGUCUCUGGGCUGUUACUGACGCUGAGGAGCGAAAGCAUGGGGAGCGAACAGGAUUAGAUACCCUGGUAGUCCAUGCCGUAAACGUUGGGCACUAGGUGUGGGGGACAUUCCACGUUCUCCGCGCCGUAGCUAACGCAUUAAGUGCCCCGCCUGGGGAGUACGGCCGCAAGGCUAAAACUCAAAGGAAUUGACGGGGGCCCGCACAAGCGGCGGAGCAUGCGGAUUAAUUCGAUGCAACGCGAAGAACCUUACCAAGGCUUGACAUUCACCGGACCGCCCCAGAGAUGGGGUUUCCCUUCGGGGCCGG